RNAcentral lists this ribosomal RNA (487 nucleotides) under uncultured bacterium. RNAcentral's name for it is "bacterial SSU rRNA". It matches the Rfam family "Bacterial small subunit ribosomal RNA", at positions 28 to 507 of the family's 1533-position model. The record is from RNAcentral.
GAUGAACGCUAGCGGCAGGCUUAACACAUGCAAGUCGAGGGGUAACAUAGGAAAGCUUGCUUUUCUGAUGACGACCGGCGCACGGGUGCGUAACGCGUAUACAACCUACCUUUUAGCGGGGAAUAGCCCAGGGAAACUUGGAUUAAUGCCCCAUAGUAUAUAGACUUCUCCUGAAGUUUAUAUUAAACAUUUAUGGCUAUUAGAUGGGUAUGCGUCCUAUUAGUUAGUUGGUAAGGUAACGGCUUACCAAGGCAGCGAUAGGUAGGGGUCCUGAGAGGGAGAUCCCCACACUGGUACUGAGACACGGACCAGACUCCUACGGGAGACAGCAGUGAGGAAUAUUGGACAAUGGGCGAGAGCCUGAUCCAGCCAUGCCGCGUGCAGGAAGACUGCCCUAUGGGUUGUAAACUGCUUUUACAGAGGAAGAACCACCCCCACGUGUGGGGGUUUGACGGUACUCUGCGAAUAAGGAUCGGCUAACUCCGUG